Molecule: unclassified non-coding RNA, 367 nt
Filed under: soil metagenome
Description: partial contains 5.8S ribosomal RNA, internal transcribed spacer 2, and large subunit ribosomal RNA
Rfam family: 5.8S ribosomal RNA (bases 1-121)
Source: RNAcentral
GAUGAAGAACGUAGCGAACGUGCGAAACGUAAUGUGAAUUGCAGAAUUCAGUGAAUCAUCGAAUCUUUGAACGCAUCUUGCGCUCCUUGGUAUUCCGAGGAGCAUGCCUGUUUGAGUGUCGUGAAAUACUCUCAAUUUCAAUCUUUUUGUUUGAAAUUGGAUUUGGAUGUUGUUGUGGAUCUUGCUACGACUCAUCCUAAAUGCAUUAGCGAUCUGCCUUGAUCACACACAAUGUGAUAAGAUGAGCAUUGUUAUAAUCAAGUCAUGACUGCUUCUAACCGUCCCUUUGGGACAAACGUCUUAUGCCGUUUGACCUCAAAUCAGGUAGGACUACCCGCUGAACUUAAGCAUAUCAAUAAGCGGAGGA